GAUGCUGAAAUCACUGCACCUUAAAAACAAAAGGAUUAAGCUGCACUGCAUUCCUUGAACUCCCAAAGCCCAUCGGUGCGGGGCGAGCUUAGCAGCCAAGCCUUGCCAUUCUCCAGAGACUGUGAGGUGAUUCUCCUUCGUCACUGCUUGGACCAGGAACCACAGCCCUGCAGUGGUUGGCAGUUUUCCUCAACUUUGCAAGAGAGAGAGAAUUGGUUGGAAUGAAACCUUGCUCUCCGUACAGUCCGCUUGAGAUGCAGCAUUGAAAGGUCCUUUGGAAAUGGAAAAGAUGGUGACUUGGAUGGGAAAAAGGAUGAUGUCCAUUACCCUCAGGCAUACAAGCUGACUGACGCUACUCUUACAUACUUUCCCAUUUUACC
RNAcentral lists this long non-coding RNA (380 nucleotides) under Apteryx owenii (little spotted kiwi). RNAcentral's name for it is "lncRNA (ENSAOWG00000005483.1)". The record is from RNAcentral. Lineage: Eukaryota; Metazoa; Chordata; Aves; Apterygiformes; Apterygidae.